RNAcentral lists this long non-coding RNA (1130 nucleotides) under Citrus x clementina. RNAcentral's name for it is "Citrus clementina (C. clementina) long non-coding RNA (CCLE_LNC003489)". The record is from RNAcentral. Lineage: Eukaryota; Viridiplantae; Streptophyta; Magnoliopsida; Sapindales; Rutaceae.
GUUUAUAAAUGUGUAAAUAAACUUUAUUCAACGUUAUAUGUAUUUUAGUCAUUUGUAUUCUUACAACAGUCGAACAGUAAAAUUGUAUUCUUACAACAAUAUAACAGUAAAAUUUAUCAAAUAUAUACUGCUGCUUUUUAAAGCUCAUAGCACUUAACUAAUUAUUUCUACAUUAAAAUUAACAACAAUUAUUUUAAAACUUACAAUGUUAUUGAAUUUGCCCUUGCAAUAAUAAAUAAUUUGAUUAAGAGAAAAAUAAAUGGGUUUUGAGACUUAGCUCCUAAAGAGAUCACAAUUUACUAUUCGCCUCCUAUAAUUUUCAUGAUACUCUUAUUCUUAUUAAAACGUUAACAGAAAGAAAACCCAAAAAAAAAAAAGAGUUGCUUUACGGUUGAACAAGGUUUUUGGACUAAAAUUUUUACCCUAACAAGAUAAAAUGGGUUUUAUGAGAAUAACAAAGGGGUAAGUGAUAAAACUCAUAAACAUCAGGGCCAAAGUGGUGAUCUCUCAAAAUAAAUUGAAACUACCAUUUAUAUGCUAGGAAUACCCGUACUUAAUUCUUAAGCUUAAUUAAUUAGAUGCCAUUAGUAAUGUUUCCAAAAGACAUUACAUAGCAAGUGACAUGUGCGCACAACCUUUCAGAAGUUUCAAAAGUAUGAAAUCAUAAGAGUGGGGCCAUAAAUAUUUAGUUUAAAACUAUUCUUAAUUAUAUUUUAUUUGAUCUUUGUCGUUCAAAGCAAAGAAAAUUUGUACUAACUCUCUUAUCUCAGGUGUUGCAUUGGACCCACCGCUAGCUAAUACAGAUGAAUCAAGACAUAUUUUUAAUUAUGUUGUUUAAUUUUGCAUUCCAAUCUAACCCUUGGCAAUAAGUCGAUCCGUAUCACAUAAUAAUAUAUCAACUUAAUUAAGAAAUUGAUUACAUUUGAUAUUUUUAAUGAUAAAAAUGUAAUUUUGAGUUGGAAUUGAAUGACAAACAAGCUGAAGGAUUCUAAAUUAACUAAACAACAAGUCCUAAGCAUGAAUGAUAAUUAGGCCCAAUUUAGAAUAUCUAUACUUUUAUAUUAAAAUGUUUUAUAAACACUAACACUGUAGUUUGAAAAUUAAGUUGAUUUAACUUAUUAUUUAUAUGA